Molecule: ribosomal RNA, 415 nt
Filed under: uncultured bacterium
Lineage: Bacteria
Description: bacterial SSU rRNA
Rfam family: Bacterial small subunit ribosomal RNA
Source: RNAcentral
AAUCAACGCUGGCGGCGUGCCUCAGACAUGCAAGUCGAACGCGAAAGGCUCCUUCGGGGGCCGAGUAGAGUGGCGUCCGGGUGAGUAACACGUGGGUAAUCUACCUUCGGGUGGGGAAUAACAGUCGGAAACGACUGCUAAUACCGCAUGAUGCAGCGGCACCACAUGGUGACAGUUGUUAAAGCGGGGGAUCGCAAGACCUCGCGCCUGAAGAGAAGCCCGCGGCAGAUUAGCUAGUUGGUAAGGUAAUGGCUUACCAAGGCAACGAUCUGUAGCCGGCCUGAGAGGGCGGUCGGCCACACUGACACUGAAUAACGGGUCAGACUCCUACGGGAGGCAGCAGUCGGGAAUUUUGGGCAAUGGGCGCAAGCCUGACCCAGCAACGCCGCGUGAAGGAUGAAGUAUUUCGGUAUGU